This 226-nucleotide ribosomal RNA is filed under the name uncultured bacterium. Its description in RNAcentral is "partial 16S ribosomal RNA". It matches the Rfam family "Bacterial small subunit ribosomal RNA", at positions 538 to 763 of the family's 1533-position model. The record is from RNAcentral.
GCGUUGUUCGGAAUGACUGGGCGUAAAGGGCGCGUAGGCGGUUUGAUAAGUUUGGUGUGAAAGUCCUGGGCUCAACCUGGGGAUUGCACUGAAUACUGUUAGGCUAGAGUCUGAGAGAGGAAAAUGGAAUUGCGAGUGUAGAGGUGAAAUUCGUAGAUAUUCGCAAGAACACCGGUGGCGAAGGCGGUUUUCUGGCUCAGUACUGACGCUAAGGCGCGAAAGCGUG